RNAcentral lists this long non-coding RNA (2949 nucleotides) under Octopus vulgaris (common octopus). Lineage: Eukaryota; Metazoa; Mollusca; Cephalopoda; Octopoda; Octopodidae. The record is from RNAcentral.
GCAAAAUUGCCUCCCCUAAAGAUGCGCUCUUCAUAUAGAAUACGCCUGCCAAAUAUAUACAUGCCUUUACUGAAACUGAGCACAGGAAAUCCAAACUUAAGGAAAAGGAAAAAAUUAAAAUCCAAAAAGAAAUAGGUAAUGUGAUUUUUCAAAAUUGAUCUUUCAUUAUUUUCAUAUUCUUUUAGGGUCAUUUUUGCACAUGCAUAACCUUUAUUUCAGAGUUUGCAGUCCAAUAACUUUUGCUGAUUUAUCCAUAUAUAAUGCUACCUUUAGAGAAUUCAUGAAGGUUAACGAUUGUUUAGAUUGGAGUGGAGGGUAAUUUUUUCUAUAUCCACUUCAUCAUUGUCAAACCAAUACAGUUGACAUGUACCACUAGCCUCCUCUGCUGUUAAUCUCACAAAAAAUUUAUUUAUCAUCAUCAUCAUCGUUUAACAUCUGCCUUUAUAUACAUAUUUGACAGUUUGACUUUACUGUGAUUCAUGUUUGUUGGAAUUUUUAAUCAAAACAUAUUUAGUAAAGUCUUUGCUUGGAUAGAAUAUGGCUUCCUCUAUAAAUCUCAAACUUUCUGCCUAUUUUGUCAUGUUAUAAAGAUUGAACUCAGAAUAUAUUGCUGCUAAAGCAUUCCUAAAUAAUGUUCUUUUCAUCAGAGCUGAAACAGCUUUCUGUAAUCUAAACUUUUAGGCUUUCAGCACCGCCUCGACUGGCUUCUGUGCUGGUAGCACAUAAAAAGCACCAUCCGAACGUGGCCGAUGCCAGCGCCGCCUUGGCUGGCUUCCGUGCCGGUGGCACGUUAAAAGCACCAACCGAUCAUAGCCGAUGCCAGACUCCCAUGGCACCUGUGCCGGUGGCACGUAAAAAGCACCCACUACACUCGCGGAGUGGUUGGCGUUAGGAAGGGCAUCAAGCUGUAGAAACACUGCCAGAUCAGACUGGAGCCUGGUGCAGCCUUCUGGCUUCCCAAACCCUGGUCGAACCAUUCAACCCGUGCUAGCGCGGAAAACGGACGUUAAACGAUGAUGAUGAUGAUGAUGAUGAUUAGGAAAAGGAAAUUUUAGCAUAAAGAAAAAGUGAGACAGCUUAUUGAGGACACAGACAAAAUUAAAAGAGCUAAAUUAACAAAUCUUAUGAAACAGUGUACAAUUUGCAUGGAUCAUAUAAUAGUUACUGUCGUAGAAUUUAUUUUUGUUAAAGUCAAAAUUUUUCUUUCCUUCAAAUUUCAUAUAUAUAUCAAAGCCGCUAAUUUGGCCAGCCAUGUAAGGGGCUUGAAGACCAACUCCACGCCACAUAGAAUUAAGUGGAGAAUCAUAGAAAAUUUCAUACCAUAUAUUAAUGAAUCUAAAAAAAUGCAAGUUAUGCAUAGAUGAAAAGUCACACAUACUUUUUAGAUCUAAGAAUUCCACCACACUGCUGAAUUCCAGCUCAGAAAUUGUCAGCAGAUGUGAACAUAUGGACAUGUUUCUUUUGGUGAGCUGGAGAUCACCACCCUCUCCAGAUUGAGGAGACUUUAGAUCCCUUCCAUUAAUUCUACAUCAAUUAGCUUUAUGGCUUUACAGUCUAAAGGAACAUAACUCUAAGUCUUUUUUUUUCUCCUUUCUUUCAGCCUUCCACUUUAUGCAUCCACCUUCCUCUCAUUUUUUCUCAUGAUUUGUCUUAUUCUAUUGUCCUGAUUGGUAACUGGUAUAGUAGGGUGGAGUGAAAAUUAAAAAAAUUGUGGAAAUUGAAAAUGCCUGAGAGCUAAAAUGUUUCUAUAUUUGAUUACUAGAAAAAUGCUAAAUUUUCGCUGAGAUCAAUCAAGGGCAUUUACUUCCUCAAGCCUCCUAAACUCUGAAAAUGGGGGAUUUUUGUAAAUUUUUUACAAUAACAGAGUUUGUGGGGUUUGAGGGAGUAAAUGCCCUUGACUGAUCUAAGCAAAUUUCCACAAUUUUUUAUUUUCACUCCACCCUAACACACAUGUAUGUGUGAGCAGGUAUAUAGAUUGUGUAAUCUAGGGUGAAGUGAAAAUAAAAAAUUGUUGAAACUGAAAAUGCCUGUAGCCUAAAAUCUUGCCAUAUAUUAUGACUAGGAAAAUGCUAAAUUUUUGCUUAGAUCAAGAGCAUUUACUUCCUCAAACCCUGCAAACACCGCUAGUGUAAAAAAUUUACUAAAAUCUCCCAUUUUCUGAGUUUAGGGGGCUUGUGGGAGGAAAUCUCCUUGAUUGAUCUCAGUUAAAAUUUAGCAUUUUUCUAGUAAUCAAAUAGCAAUAUUUUAGCCCUCAGGUAUUUUCAAUUUCCACAAUUUUUUAUUUUCAUUCCACCCUACUUUGUAGAACAUAUACUCAGAGCAUGAGGAUUGCUUGGAGACACUAGGCAUGUUAUUAAAACCUGCCUAGAAAACAUCUCCAAAGUAUGAAACUAUUAGUAGCUCGUAAUUAUAUGCUGUGUACAUUAAACAAUACUCAUCUCUCAUUAGAUGGAGUACUUUUUUUGUUAAUAUUAACUUAAUGGAAAAGUAAACUAUAUAUUGAUACAUAUAUAUUUUUUUGUUUUUUUUUAGAAAAAUCUGGAUGACCACAGAGGAGCAAACUUCCAUAAUAUAAUGCGCACAGACAUACAAACACACACACACACACUUGUACCCACAUGUGCACAUUCACACACACACACAUAGAGUAUGGAGAUAUGUAAAUUAAAGUACAUUGUAUGAUUGUUAUUUCUAGUCUUAUUUGUAAGUAAAUAUUCAUUGCCUUUGUAGAAUAGCACUCGGCACGCUAAACCUUAAAUUUCGUAAAUAUAAGUUUAUUUCAUUAAUUAGUUUAAAAUGUGUAGGAAUCAUUGAGCCGAAAUACUCUUUGCUGACGAACUUUCAUGAAAAUCUUUUUUUUUUUUUUUUUUUUUUUGAUAUUCUAACUAUUUGUUUUCAUUCACUGAAAUAAUGUCAUCAUGGAAAUAAAUAGAAAUUUUUAGAUAUGCC